UACGGGAGGCAGCAGUGAGGAAUAUUGGUCAAUGGACGCAAGUCUGAACCAGCCACGUCGCGUGAAGGAAGACGGGCCUACGGGUUGUAAACUUCUUUUGUAAGGGAAUAAAGUGAGCCACGUGUGGCUUAUGGCAUGUACCUUACGAAUAUACCUAC
Molecule: ribosomal RNA, 158 nt
Filed under: uncultured bacterium
Lineage: Bacteria
Description: partial 16S ribosomal RNA
Rfam family: Bacterial small subunit ribosomal RNA
Source: RNAcentral